This is a long non-coding RNA of Ictalurus punctatus (channel catfish), 316 nucleotides long. NCBI's taxonomy places the organism in Eukaryota, Metazoa, Chordata, Actinopteri, Siluriformes, Ictaluridae. The record is from Ensembl.
GGGAAGCACAACAAUUCAAACUGGGUCAACAUCUACCACUGGAACAACUACCCAAACCAACAACUACUACAGUGGGGCCAACAAGUACAACAACUGAAGGUAGCACAACAACUAAAUUUUCGUCAACAUCUACCACUGGAACAACUACCCAACCAACAACUAUUACAGUGGGGCCAACAACUACAACUCCUGUAUCAAGUACAACAACUGAAAGUAGCACAACAACUAAAAUUGAGCCAACAUCUACCACUGGAACAACUACCCAACCAAACAACUACUACAGUGGGGCCAACAACUACAACUCCCGUGUCAAGUA